UCCCCAUCACUGAGCACAGACCCUUGGUCCAGUCGAAAUCUUCUUAGGAGAAAGAAAAGGCAACCAUAAAAAUGAACAGAAUUUUGGCAUUGUGCUUUGGGGUGCUUCUUAUAACCUUAAUGUUUUCAACUCAGGGGUCUGCAGAUGAUAGCAAAUCAUCAGCAUCUUCAUCAGUUACGGCUGCUCCCAGUAAUUCCAGUGCUGCAGGAUUGGGUCCUUUGCCCACCACACUGUGCCUACUGAUCCCAGCAGCCACCCUGGGCUUCCUCCACACUAGAUCUUAAAUUGGAUGGAGAACGUUUGCCAUAGAUGACCAAGAUUGGACCAGUGGCAAAAAUGGAUAUCCAGUCACCCAAAGAGCAAACUUUCCCAAAAUUCUUGAAGAUAGAAGACGCAAAGGGGAGGGAAGACACCCCCAACAUCUCACAUUUGUAAUGGAUCUUUUAAAGCUUGAAGAUUUUUUUUUUUCCCAACACCUAUUUGUUUUCUCUACCUGUUUUAGGGAGCUUGUAAGAAAUCUACAACUGGAUAAUCAACAGCUGAACCUGCACUAUUGGGCUCUUUGUCUUGACUGCCCCAAAGCCACUGUUUUAAUAUAGGGCUCACCUGAUCCAUCUAUAAUAAUUAUAAUGAACCUUUAAUUGUAAUGAUUAAUAAUUUGUCUAAAUGCGCAAUUAAAGCUGAUGAUUCUACAUGUUUGUAUGUCAUUUGUAUAAUAUAUAUUUAUAUAUAUACAAAUAUUCAUAUAAUAUAAUAUUUAAACAUUGAAAUGGAAAUUUUAUCUUUUUUUUAAAGUACAUAUAUAUAUAUAUAAAAAGGAUUAAAAAAAAAAGUAAACAUGUACAUUUCAAUAGGUGAAAUGACAAAAAGACACAAUAACUUCAUAUACUGUAAGGGAUUUUAUCAUGUUAAAAAAGGCUCUCAUGGGCAUUUAUUAAAUUAUAAAUUAAUUAAUUACAAGUUACUGUAUAUGUACAUAAAACAUUUUAUUGAUGCAAGAUGGGCGUGUCACUCCCUUAUCCUGUGCAGAAGCUUCAGAAGCUAUUUUUAAAUUAUUAUUAACACAAGAUUAUACUGUUCAAGUUAUAUCUAAAAUAUGUGCUUCAUGUACAGUAGUACAAUUUAAAUAUGUAAAAUAUAAUUUAAUAAUGACUGAAUCAACCUGUCUACAUUGGGUUACACUAGAGCCAUUGAAAAAGAGAGUUGCGACACUCCCAUAGACUUCCAUUGUAAUCGAAGAAUGCGGAAGUGUCAUGGGCCGUUCUGCAUUCAUUUUCAGUGGUUUCGAAGCACGCUCGCUGGUGUGUUAGAAAAGAUAUGGCGGGGGGGUACUCGAGGACCAGGGUUGAAGAUCACUUAUCUAGAUCCCCGGACCCCGGAUCUAGCACUACAAAAAACAGGAGUGGAAGACCAUGGGAGGGGGAACACCCUUUACCCUCUUACUGGACAUAUU
Molecule: long non-coding RNA, 1453 nt
Organism: Xyrauchen texanus (razorback sucker)
Lineage: Eukaryota; Metazoa; Chordata; Actinopteri; Cypriniformes; Catostomidae
Exons: 3
Source: RefSeq, a predicted model, not a curated record